Molecule: ribosomal RNA, 226 nt
Filed under: Planctomycetota bacterium
Lineage: Bacteria; Pseudomonadati; Planctomycetota
Description: Planctomycetes bacterium (groundwater metagenome) partial 16S ribosomal RNA
Rfam family: Bacterial small subunit ribosomal RNA
Source: RNAcentral
GCCUUCAUGAAGCUGGAAUCGCUAGUAAUCGCGCAUCAGCCAUGGCGCGGUGAAUAUGUUCCUGAGCCUUGUACACACCGCCCGUCAAGCCACGAAAGCGGGGAGUGCUCGAAGUCGUUCUGCCAAACCGUAAGGAUGGCGGCGCCUAAAGCAAGCUCCGUGAUUGGGACUAAGUCGUAACAAGGUAGCCGUAGGGGAACCUGCGGCUGGAUCACCUCCUUUCUAA